GAACACCAGUGGCGAAGGCGACUUUCUGGACUGUAACUGACGCUGAGGUACGAAAGCGUGGGUAGCGAACAGGAUUAGAUACCCUGGUAGUCCACGCCGUAAACGAUGGAUACUAGGUGUAGGGGGUAUCGACCCCCCCUGUGCCGGAGUUAACGCAAUAAGUAUCCCGCCUGGGGAGUACGGUCGCAAGACUGAAACUCAAAGGAAUUGACGGGGGCCCGCACAAGCAGCGAGGCGUGUGGUUUAAUUCGAAGCAACGCGAAGAACCUUACCAGGGCUUGACAUCCCGAUGACCGGUACAGAGAUGUACCUUCCCUUCGGGGCAUUGGAGACAGGUGGUGCAUGGUUGUCGUCAGCUCGUGUCGUGAGAUGUUGGGUUAAGUCCCGCAACGAGCGCAACCCCUAUCCUUAGUUGCCAUCAGUUAAAGCUGGGCACUCUAAAGAGACUGCCGGGGAUAACUCGGAGGAAGGUGGGGAUGACGUCAAAUCAUCAUGCCCCUUAUGCCCUGGGCUACACACGUGCUACAAUGGCCUGUAACAGAGGGAAGCGAAGUCGUAAGGCGGAGCAAAACUCAGAAACCAGGUCCCAGUUCGGAUUGUGGCUGCAACUCGCCCACAUGAAGUCG
Molecule: ribosomal RNA, 626 nt
Filed under: uncultured bacterium
Lineage: Bacteria
Description: bacterial SSU rRNA
Rfam family: Bacterial small subunit ribosomal RNA
Source: RNAcentral